UACGAAGGGUGCAAACGUUGUUCGGAUUCAUUGGGCGUAAAGGGUGCGUAGGUGGUGAUGCAAGUCUGGUGUGAAAUCUCGGAGCUCAACUCCGAAAUUGCACCGGAUACUGCGUGACUCGAGGACUGUAGAGGAGAUCGGAAUUCACGGUGUAGCAGUGAAAUGCGUAGAUAUCGUGAGGAAGACCAGUUGCGAAGGCGGAUCUCUGGGCAGUUCCUGACACUGAGGCACGAAGGCCAGGGGAGCAAACGGG
Molecule: ribosomal RNA, 253 nt
Filed under: uncultured bacterium
Lineage: Bacteria
Description: partial 16S ribosomal RNA
Rfam family: Bacterial small subunit ribosomal RNA
Source: RNAcentral